UACAGAGGCCACAAGCGUUAGACGGAAUCACUGGGCUUAAAGCGUGUGUAGGCGGGAUGGUAAGUACCUUGUGAAAUCCCACAGCUUAACUGUGGAAAUGCUUGGUAUACUGCCGUUCUUGAGUCACCUAGGGGCAGCUGGAACAGAUGGUGGAGCGGUGAAAUGCAUAGAUAUCAUCUGGAACGCCAAUGGUGCAGACAAGCUGCUGGGGGUGUACUGACGCUCAUGCACGAAAGCGUGGGGAGCAAACAGG
This 253-nucleotide ribosomal RNA is filed under the name uncultured bacterium. Its description in RNAcentral is "partial 16S ribosomal RNA". It matches the Rfam family "Bacterial small subunit ribosomal RNA", at positions 524 to 776 of the family's 1533-position model. The record is from RNAcentral.